RNAcentral lists this ribosomal RNA (512 nucleotides) under bacterium 'H. scabra 70 (F)'. RNAcentral's name for it is "bacterial SSU rRNA". It matches the Rfam family "Bacterial small subunit ribosomal RNA", at positions 372 to 876 of the family's 1533-position model. The record is from RNAcentral.
UGGGCGCAAGCCUGAUGCAGCCAUGCCGCGUGUAUGAAGAAGNCCUUCGGGUUGUAAAGCACUUUCAGUCGUGAGGAAGGUGGUGUCGUUAAUAGCNGCAUNACUUGACGUUAGCGACAGAAGAAGCACCGGCUAACUCCGUGCCAGCAGCCGCGGUAAUACGGAGGGUGCGAGCGUUAAUCGGAAUUACUGGGCGUAAAGCGCAUGCAGGUGGUUUGUUAAGUCAGAUGUGAAAGCCCGGGGCUCAACCUCGGAAUNGCAUUUGAAACUGGCAGACUAGAGUACUGUAGAGGGGGGUAGAAUUUCAGGUGUAGCGGUGAAAUGCGUAGAGAUCUGAAGGAAUACCGGUGGCGAAGGCGGCCCCCUGGACAGAUACUGACACUCAGAUGCGAAAGCGUGGGGAGCAAACAGGAUUAGAUACCCUGGUAGUCCACGCCGUAAACGAUGUCUACUUGGAGGUUGUGGCCUUGANCCGUGGCUUUCGGAGCUAACGCGUUAAGUAAACCGCCUGG